CGGCAGCUUACACAUGCAGUCGAACGAGAAGCUUUCCUUUCGGGAAAGUGGAAAGUGGCAGAACGGGACGAAGUAACGCGUGGGAACGUGCCUUUCGGUUCGGAAUCAACUCAGGGAAACUUGGGCUAAUACCGAAUACGCCCUUCGGGGGAAAGAUUAAUCGCCGAAAGAUCGGCCCGCGUCAGAUUAGCUUGUUGGUGAGGUAACGGCUCACCAAGGCAUCGACGGGUAGCUGGUCUGAGAGGACGACCAGCCACACUGGAACUGAGACACGGUCCAGACUCCUACGGGAGGCAGCAGUGGGGAAUCUUGCACAAUGGGCGAAAGCCUGAUGCAGCGACGCCGCGUGGGGGAUGAAGGCCCUAGGGUCGUAAAGCUCUUUCGCCAGGGAUGAUAAUGACAGUACCUGGUAAAGAAACCCCGGCUAACUCCGUGCCAGCAGCCGCGGUAAUACGGAGGGGGUUAGCGUUGUUCGGAAUUACUGGGCGUAAAGCGCGCGUAGGCGGGUUGUUAAGUUAGAGGUGAAAUCCCGGGGCUCAACCCCGGAACUGCCUUUAAUACUGGCAACCUAGAGUUCGAGAGAGGUGAGUGGAAUUCCGAGUGUAGAGGUGAAAUUCGUAGAUAUUCGGAGGAACACCAGUGGCGAAGGCGGCUCACUGGCUCGAUACUGACGCUGAGGUACGAAAGUGUGGGGGAGCAAACAGGAUUGGAU
Molecule: ribosomal RNA, 712 nt
Filed under: uncultured bacterium
Lineage: Bacteria
Description: bacterial SSU rRNA
Rfam family: Bacterial small subunit ribosomal RNA
Source: RNAcentral